RNAcentral lists this ribosomal RNA (486 nucleotides) under uncultured bacterium. RNAcentral's name for it is "bacterial SSU rRNA". It matches the Rfam family "Bacterial small subunit ribosomal RNA", at positions 28 to 528 of the family's 1533-position model. The record is from RNAcentral.
GACGAACGCUGGCGGCGUGCUUAACACAUGCAAGUCGAACGGUGACGAGGAGCUUGCUCCUCUGAUCAGUGGCGAACGGGUGAGUAACACGUGAGCAACCUGCCCCAGACUCUGGGAUAACAGUUGGAAACAGCUGCUAAUACCGGAUACGAGACGGAGAGGCAUCUCUACCGUCUGGAAAGUUUUUCGGUCUGGGAUGGACUCGCGGCCUAUCAGCUAGUUGGUGAGGUAAUGGCUCACCAAGGCGACGACGGGUAGCCGGCCUGAGAGGGCGACCGGCCACACUGGGACUGAGACACGGCCCAGACUCCUACGGGAGGCAGCAGUGGGGAAUAUUGCACAAUGGGCGAAAGCCUGAUGCAGCGACGCCGCGUGAGGGAUGACGGCCUUCGGGUUGUAACCUCUUCUAGCAGGGAAGAAGCGAAAGUGACGGUACCUGCAGAAGAAGCACCGGCUAACUACGUGCCAGCAGCCGCGGUAAGGAGU